GAAAGCCUGACGGAGCGACGCCGCGUGACUGAUGAAGUUCUUCGGGAUGUAAAGGUCUUUUAUGUGGGAGAAAGUUUAUUGAUAGUACCACAUGAAUAAGGGGUUGCUAAACUCGUGCCAGCAGCAGCGGUAAUACGAGUGCCCCAAGCGUUAUCCGGAAUCAUUGGGCGUAAAGGGUGUGUAGGCGGUUGUGUUAGUCUUGUGUCAAAUUCUUCGGCUUAACCGGGGUAUCGCACGGGAAACGGCACAACUAGAGGAUGCGAGGGGUGAGUGGAACUCAUGGAGUAGGGGUGAAAUCCGUUGAUAUCAUGGGGAACACCGAAAGCGAAGGCAGCUCACUGGCGCACUCCUGACGCUGAAACACGAAAGCGUA
This 373-nucleotide ribosomal RNA is filed under the name uncultured bacterium. RNAcentral's name for it is "bacterial SSU rRNA". It matches the Rfam family "Bacterial small subunit ribosomal RNA", at positions 377 to 763 of the family's 1533-position model. The record is from RNAcentral.